GAGAGAUAUGAGUUGGGGCAAUGAAAUGUUUAUUGGAGAAAAAGUUUCCUGGAUACAUGAGUGGGUUUCACAACUGCAAUAAAGCCCUCAUGGGUUGAUACUCUGAUAAUCUUUCCUUGUUAGAGAUCUUCUACUUGAUAGGCUGAGAGAUGUGUACUGAAUGUCUUGCAGAAAAGCGCCUUGAUGAUGACACUGUCUACCAAGCAAGCAAGACAAAUUUGCAAUAACACCACAAGAUUUUUUUUCAACAGACUAGCAA
This 259-nucleotide unclassified non-coding RNA is filed under the name Hevea brasiliensis (rubber tree). The record is from RNAcentral. Lineage: Eukaryota; Viridiplantae; Streptophyta; Magnoliopsida; Malpighiales; Euphorbiaceae.